This 513-nucleotide ribosomal RNA is filed under the name uncultured bacterium. RNAcentral describes it as "bacterial SSU rRNA". It matches the Rfam family "Bacterial small subunit ribosomal RNA", at positions 28 to 526 of the family's 1533-position model. The record is from RNAcentral.
GACGAACGCUGGCGGCGUGCCUAAUACAUGCAAGUGGAGCGACGAACCAGGGCUUGCCCUGGGGCAGAGCCGCGAACGGGUGAGUAACACGUGGGUAACCUGCCCUGAUGAUUGGGACAACCCGGGGAAACUCGGGCUAAUACCAAAUGUGCUUUCUGGCCUUAAGGCUGGUUUGGAAAGGUAGCUUCGGCUAACCGCAUCAGGAUGGGCCCGCGGCCCAUUAGCUUGUUGGUGGGGUAAUGGCUUACCAAGGCUUCGAUGGGUAGCUGGUCUGAGAGGACGAUCAGCCACACUGGGACUGAGACACGGCCCAGACUCCUACGGGAGGCAGCAGUAGGGAAUCUUGCGCAAUGCGCGAAAGCGUGACGCAGCAACGCCGCGUGGAGGAAGACGGUCUUCGGAUUGUAAACUCCUUUCAGUUGGGACGAGGCUUCGGCGUUGAAUAGACGUUCGGAGUGACGGUACCUUCAGAAGAAGCCCCGGCUAACUACGUGCCAGCCGCCGCGGUAAUAC